Gasterosteus aculeatus aculeatus (three-spined stickleback) is the source of this 15418-nucleotide long non-coding RNA. Lineage: Eukaryota; Metazoa; Chordata; Actinopteri; Perciformes; Gasterosteidae. The record is from Ensembl.
AUCAAAUACAUGCAUCAAGAAAUUUCUAAUUGAUGGGUUUCCGAGCCAUAAAAGGUUGGGUGCCUUGCUUAGGGGCACAUUGGCAGUAGCAUCCUUUUUUCCCCUAUUCCACAAACUGCACCGUGUUGGUUCGGGAUACGCAACCCCUCCAUUAACCGGGGGCUGUUUUCUCCCUAUAUAACGUGUAAAUGCCUUUUUCUAAAUGGCUUCUUUGUUUGAAGAGUGAAUGUGUCUUUAAGAAGUUCUGUUCUCCAAUAGGACCGUUUUUAAUUGCGAUUAGGUGUACUUAAGGAGAAACAGGAAACAUGUGGAGAGGGAGUUGUGGUCACAUAAAUCUGCCACGUAGAAGCUCGUAACUCUUUACUUAUAACUGUCAUUUGCACACUAUCCAACAAAACACAUCGCACCAAAGAGACGAUACUGUAGGAAAAACUGUGCAUCUCGCUGAAACUCUGCCAGCCCUCCUUUGUUUUGCGGGCACACAACUAAACAAGGCAGCAAAGAACAUUGGUUGAAUAUCUAAGUGAAAGGAAUGAGUUGGUAUGCUGAGACGAGGGCUUCAGGCUCCGUAAUAGAAGCAUAGCUUUCUCUUUUCUCUAUUGUUUUUUGUUUUGUCUUCGAACUCAUUUGGUAGCACGCAACCCCCCCUUCACACACACACACACACACACACACACACACACACACACACAGACACACUAUCUUCUCUCUAUGUCCUUCCAAGUUGUGCGUACAGUGUAUUUGUGUGGGAGUCAGUGAUAACAGGUACACGUGGGUGAAAUUGGUUCCAGACGGGCUUUUAGUCUAAAUGUGCAGUCGCUGAAAAACGGCAAUAGCUCCUCAUACCAGCUGGGAAGGCAGGUGACUCAGUCAGGAGAUCUCUGAAGGGGGGAAAGGCGCCGAGGGCAAAUAGAGGGCAUGUAAAGCAGCGCAGGAAAAUGGAAAAUUCCAGAAUUGACAUGCUGCCAGCGGAAAGGAAAGAUGGAGGAGAUUGAAAACCGAAAGGGAUGCAUGAUCACUGAGCACCGGAGAAGCUGAAAAAGUGCGUAACAUAAUAAAGAAUCAACACUUGAAAUAGUAUAGGCACUUGCUAAUGAGUACAUAGUACAACAUGUCAAAUAGAAAGUCUCAGGUGAACACCCCUGAAAGUUAAGCAUCAAAAUAAUUAAAACUCAAGGACUGAUGAACUGAUAUCUAAGCUCAGCAAAGGCAGCUUAAACAUAACAUAAUGUAUAUCAAUGUAAUAUCGCAGUAUGAAGAUGUAAAUAAAUGAAAACAAAAAUGCAGAUGAUACAUAUCACAUAUCUUUUCUUUUAGGGCAAAGCUACAAGUUUUACAGGUGCAAUGCGAAAAGAGUAAUGCCUCUUUAAAAUAAAUUGAGUAUUACGCAUGCUGCAUUGUAAAUUACCUGCCAUAUGUCUUCACUGACGCCACUUUAUAAAUGUUUUAUAUUUGUGACUCUCACAGAUGCAUCCAAAUGUGUUCAAAACACGCAUACAGGUCCACUGGAAAGCUGGUCGGGUUUUUUAGUCUCUGACUGAUGAAAUAGAUCUGUAGUGAAGGAUAGUUAAGUAAUACCUUCACUAAUAUUAUAUUAUAUAAAGUCAAUGACUGUAUACUUUUGCAAUAUCCCACCUCCAACACGAUGAUUGAAUUGUUCCUCCAUGCAUUAAUAUUGUAUACUUUGUGUGCUGACACGCUGCAACCAUCAAAAACAAAUGAUUGUAAUUAUAAAUCCACAGCCUCGCUUUUUCCAUUUUGCAUAGAGGAACCCUGAAAUGGAUCAUAUGUAUGUAAUGUUUUUUUUUGUGAAUAAUUAAUCUGGUGGGCUGACUUCAGAAUACUAAACAUUAACAAUCGUCUAAAGUGCCAUUAGGGAGCAGUAAUAUCUGCAGCCCCGACCAAAACGAAUACAUUAUCAAUCCACAUUUCAAAUGUUGUCCACAGAAUCACCCAGGCGUCGGCGAAUCCCCCACCUGCGUGUUCCCGGCGAAUCCAUCAACGGCGACACACACGUGCGCGUACACCGUGGUUAACGCCGGGGCCGGCGGAGUGAUCCGUCUUGUGCUUGUGUUGUGGGUAAAUGGAGUUCUGUGUUGUACAGGCAGGCGUGCUCACUCAACGCCGCCCCCGCGUCUCCCCGGGCUCUGUUUCCAACCACGGCCGCAGAAAGGCAUCAAUCAUCUCUCAUGGCCAGACACUUGGAUGGACGUGGAAUAUUGAUAUGGCUUUCAAGAUGUGGGGCAUGAAUAUGAUCUAUGACACCUAUCUGCCUCGCUUUGCAGCCGCUCAGCAUGUAGCCGGUGACGCGUUGGCCGAGUGUUUAUUGCAAAGGCUUCUUACGGCUCAGAUGUUGCCAGAAUUUCUCAUUACAAAUAUUCGCAUUUCCCUAAUAAUAAAGCAAGCUUUUAAUGCUGUGAAUCGUUGUGUUCGGUGCUGCUUUGUGAAUGUGUGUGUGUUUUUUUUACACGCGUACAAAAGUGUGUCACAGUUUUACAAUUAACUGGUGAAUGGAAAGUUCUCCCUGCAGACGUCUCCUCAUUACCUGCUGUGUGUACUUGGAGCUCGCCCAUCGUUUCCCCUGGACUGGAAAAAAGAGUGUCAUCGUCACCGUAAAUAACAUUGUCCCUCCACCCCCCCCUUUUAUUUUCACCUGGCAGUCCUUGUGUGGUUUCCGCAGCUCUCCAUGCAUGAAGAUUUACUGCUUUAUAUAUCAUUUAGGAACUCAUUUAAAUCAACUCCCCUUAUGUUCAGCCAGAAACAAAGGAUGGUUCAGUAGAUGUAUUUCUCUACGUAAGGCGGCCGGACAGAGAUCUUGUCACAUAAAUAAAAAGUUGACUUCCGUGCACGUGUGUAAAUAUUAUAGUUACGCAAACACAAAAAUAAACACAUGAUGCCUUGAGAUCUAGGACGGCUACUGUCUCCCUCACAAAUGCCUUCCCAUUGAUAAGUGAGGAACAUGUCCUCCUUUAGCUGACAGACAAAAUGGAUUCCAUCCAAAAAUGUGGUUUCCUCCGCUCCCCCCAGCUAUGGAAAAGCGGGAGCUUGCAAAGGUUCAAAACAAUGUGCUUUGGAUGAGAGCAGAGCAGAUUUUACACAUAGAUAAAUCCGGCUUAGUUCUCUUGGAGGACAAACGGAAGUUGUCCUGUUUAGGUAAUGGUGACUUACGAUAUAAUUGGGUUUAAUGGUUUGAAAAAAAAAGUUUUUUUUGUCGAUGUGUUUCCACACAUCGACAACGAUCAAGUCCCUCUUUGUCCGUCUGCUUGUGUGUGUGCGUGUGUGUCUGCCGCCGCUCUGGGCGCCGCCGCCUGUCUCUUGACACCGUGGAUCUGUGGCAGGCCGUGAAAUUCGGACACGUGCGGGACGGCUCUCAACUAAGACUUCAUGCCUUUUUCGUUCACACCAAUAAGCUGCUCACAUCAAUGACUUUGACCGUUGUAGAGAUCUAAUAAGCACUUAAUCAAAAUGUUGAUUUUUCGUACGGACUCGCGAGUGUUCAAUAUGUGUCAUGUAAGUAUUUUGAACUACCUAUUUACUGCCAGCAUGCAGUGUAGGAAGUAUAGGACCGCCUGUUGAGCCAAGAACAGUUAACGGGGAAAUGUUCCUGCUGCCGGACAGACAUGGCAGAUAGACUGAGACCAUCUGUGUCCUCGCUCGCACCGAACAGGGGGACGAUGUCGAGGAAAGGGAUGAAAAGGAAAGGGAACGAUGCAGUAAAGCCCUCCAAAAACUGUUGGUGGUCACAGCCUGGUGCCCACAUCCCCCUAGCUGCCUUCAGGCUUGACCUGUGUAUGUCUAUUCCUCCCAGUCUGGAAACCUCUGGACACACACACACACACACACACACACACACUCUGUCACAAGUGCACACAAACCGAUCUCCUUGUCCUGCAAAUGCAGACAGGUGUGCAGACUCAGUCAACAAGAUUCUAACACCGCGCUUUCACGCCGUAUGCACUCACAUAAACACACGCUUCGCUGGUACCUGGGGGUGGUGGAGAGGGGGGGGGGGGAUUUAACAGACACAUACAGCAGGUCAGUUGUGCGCAGGUGCUCCCCUGCCGCUGAAGAUCCCACAUGAUACCCCACCGUUUCCCCACAUAAUCGCCUUCUUUCUUUUUCUGUGGUCCAGAUUACCUCUCAAACUGGUCUGUUUUUAGUCUGGUCUUUAUACUAUAACCCGGAAUAAAAAGACACCGUGCUAUAAUGCAAAUUGCAUUGGGCACCAGAGAGGAUGCAUAAGAUGCUGCUGAGGGACUCACCUGUGUUGCAGGGGGAAUAAGUAUCAAAGAUCCGUCAGCAGGAUUUAUAAGCACAGCUAUCCCCUGACAAAAAGGAGGACGUGAUGCCAGGUUUCUGAGAGCAUUGGAUAUGAAGCGAAGCAACAGUAAAUCUGCGUGGUGCACGGUUAGGAUGCUUUUCUCAUGAAAUCCAGGGAUUCCUGGUGGAAAACAGCUUGCAUAGUAAAUCUGUAUGAGGGUCAUAAAAAGGUCUAAUAUCUGAUGUUAUGCUAAAGAAGAAGAAUACAUAUUUCCACAUCCAGGGUUGUACAUCACAGCUGAUGUAUAACCGGUCGAAAUUCAAGACGGAUUGUGAUGUCUCACCACAUGAUCAAUAUAUCUCUGUCUCCCAGUUAAAUGAAAAAAAGACAAUCUUCUGCUAAUGUAUCUCCUUUAUUACUCGAAUUCAUCAUCAAGUGAGAUGAGAAAGAAAAGGAGGGCGGGUGGCAGCAGCUCGGCAUGUUGAAUAUGAACAAAGUGAGUCACACAUAACAGCCUGUCGGCUACAAACAGGGCAACCGAGCUUCCUCCCACCAUAUGUGGACGUGUGCUUCUGUAUGAAUAUGAUAAAACACACCAGAUUUUCAUCUCCAUCUUGUAUCUGAAGCGUGAAUCCCGCUUCAGGAGUUUGGUGUUGCCCUGCAGCCUUCCUUCGACUGCGGCUUUAAUUUUUGAUGAAUCCUGUAAUAGCUAGAAUAUAUUAAGGAAGUGGCCUUUGUGCGCGCGGCGACAGGCAUAUUGGGGGUGGGGGGGGGCUUCGCCAUAUGUUGCAAAGUGUGGAUGAAAUUGGCUUGGUCUCAAAUGGAGAGAAAUCUAGAGAAUUUGCUGGAGUCCUGGAGGGAAGACAAAGAGUAAAAAGCAGAGAGAAAAAAAUACACCCCGCUCAUUUCCUCAUCACCUCCAACAAAGCAAGGUAUUAAAGAAACACCUGUGGUUUGAGGGAUGAGAUACCCAGAGCUCCCUCCUUUUCCUCUCCCAAUUGAUUAAUCUUCCAUUUCCCCCCCCCCCCCCCCCCCUGCUGCUGCAUCCCUUUCUGGCCUGGGGUAUAAGCUCUUCCCCAGACAAAAAAAAAGAAAGGCAGAGAUGCUGACAUGUAAUAAAAGGGGCUGAGGCUGGUCUGGCUUAUUUCCCCCAUUUGAUGAGCAGACUGGAGAGAGGGAAGGAGGCCCCAUUUUUCUACAGCAGAGAUAUGAAAUGACUUACUAACAGAUGCUCGCUAAUGAAGUGUUGACAGGCAGGGUGAAGGGGCCGUGCAAAGCUACUGUAUGGGAAAUGAUUGAAAGAGGAGGGGAAAAAUGGAUGGUGAAAAGACGGAUGAGGGCAAGGGAGCAGUGUGUAUAUGUGUGUAUAUGUGUGUGUGUGUGUGUGUGUGUGUGUGUGUGUGUGUGUGCACAAGCUUAAGCUUCAGUUCUCCAACCUCAGAAAGUGUGCUGUGCUCGGUCACCAGGGGAACAGAUAGCUUUUAGCAGGCUACCCUGAGGUGGAAGAUACAGCUCAGCCUCCCUCUUUGCCUUCUCCUCGUUUCAUCUUUCUCCUUCGAAGCAUUUUUUCUUUGGUACCCCUGUGACACCGAGGUAGGUUUGAAUGGAAAUGAAAGCGUUCCUUCUCGGCAGACCUUUUGUUUCUAAAACAGGUGGUGUGAUGUUUUAAUGGCUGUGGAUAAAUAACAUGGUUAAUAUAGAAGUAUUUUUAUUUUUAAAUGAAUUGCAAACCUCUCAGCUUUGUUUCCCAUUUCCAUUGUUUCCCUCUGUGAUAAGAUCCGAGCCGGAUGGCAAAAGUCGGAGACCGACCCCCUGUGGGUGAUGAAACACAAGGACACACAUGGUGGGGGGGUGGGACGGCGAGGGGUCUGCUGGGCUGAAGUCCGACAGAGUAGGUGAAUCUUUUUAUGAAACAAGAGCUAGUUUGUCGGAAAAUGCGCACAGGAAAAGAGAAACAAUGGCCCACCCAUUGCUCCCUGGACCCACCCGUUUGACAAAUAGAGAAGCCACUUUUGAACUUUUUUUUUACAACUUCCGCCAUCCUGCUUUGAGUCUCACGGAUGCACAUCACAGGAAGCUCCUGAUCUCCCACGAAAGUUGUUUCUAACACCUUCUCCCUCUGCUCCCCUUUGUUCUCCGCAAUGAGCACCUAUGCUCUGCCGCCGCCUCCGCCAUUAGAGAACAAAUGUACCGAGCAACGGCAAUUUCUUUGAGGAGGCAUCGCCUCCUGCUGCUCCAGAUUACAGCUCAUUAGUAGCGGCGUCGGAGAGACACAGCCCACACCGCGGCUCCCCCCCGAUCCCCUCGUCGCUUCCUGCAAUCCCGGUGUGGCGGGACACCGUGACAAAAGCGGCGGAGGUGGUGGUUGUGACGGUGGGGUGUUUUGGACGGGGGGCAAAGACAAGCAGCGAGGGGACUCACAGUUCACCGUUUGCCAGCUGCUGGUGGAGAUGCGAAGAAGCGCUUCGGGGGACUGGAAUGGCGUUGAAGUGAAAGGAAUGCCAGGUUGUUGUCCAAGAGGACGGCGUGUCGCGUUGCUGGCUUGAUCGAGGUAGGGAUGAAAGAUUUGACUUUGGGAGACGAGCAAGAAGGAAUGUUAAUGUCUCUAUUUGACUCGCUGUCAACCCUUCCUGGGAAAAUGUCGGGGGUUAAUGAGAGGUCAUAGCGUCCAUGUACGGGGUCAUCAGCUCGGGCUUGUUUCCAUCAAUAGGCUACAGUUUGUGGGCUGCUUUGGCAGUUGGGGUCUUGUACAUGUUGCUCGUGUCUUUUGUCUUUUGUUUUGCAAGAAUAAAACACGUUGGGCGAGCUCCCCUCACGCUGUCAGCUGUGCCAGGCACGGCGCGGUAAUUGCCAUUGAACAGCUUUGUGUGUCUGCGCGUUCACAUCCUUUAUCUGUUUCCCUCUUCCUUCCUGUUGCAGAAGUCCAAUGGAGCUCGAACACAUCAGUCCCAGUCUCCUCACUAUCCUUGAAAAAGUUUUGGCAAAGUUGCAAAAGGAAACAGAUGCCAGAUGUGUGCGCUGUAUGCGGAGUCUCUUAAACUGAACCCUUUUCUUUGCUUUUGUUUAGUUAUUUCCUGGGAGAGGAAUGCAGACAGGUUUCCAUGUCAAUCAGGACACAAAGAGUCAAUAGCUUUGUAGCUAUUGUCGAAAUGGGUUUUAUUUCCAUUCACUAUAAAUACCAGUAUUUCACACAAGAGUAACAUGUUGAUUUUACACUGCAGCAACUACAGGGAAACGUCAACGGUUGGAACUUCUGGGAUGCGAAAGCAGAUUAUGACGAGUAAGAAUUGACCCCUCAGAUCGGGUCAGUUUCGGUUUGCAUCUUCUGCCUCUCCUCAAGGGGUCGGCCUCCGUGUACACGCGGUUGGAUGAUUUGCAUCCCCUCUAUCCACUGGGGCCCCAUCCAGACUGAAAAAGCCGGGACGAUAACAGUCACGUAGGCAGCGGGGGGGGCAACUAAUAAGAAAACAAGUCAGUCGGCGUGCCCCGUCCUUCGCCCACAAAGAGUUGCGAGCCAUGAGACUGCUGCCCGGAGCGGCUCUCCUUCCGCCAUCCGUAUCGCAACGUGACCUCUGACCCUGCAGUUACCCCGACAGGCGGCUGGACUCAUUCUGCCUCCAUGAACACUGGAGCACUCACCAUGCGAUACGUCAGAAACGAGAGGCUCGCGUUCCCAAUGUCAACAGUCAUCGAGCGUAAAUGACAUACUGACUAUCAGCUGUUUUCUGCAUCCAUAAUAACAUAUAUCUCAAUGUGCAUUUAUAUAAAAAAUAAAUACAGGUGAUUGAUGCUAUAAAGAUAGAGGAGUAAUACACAUUUUGAUUCUGGUGGCGAAAAUUUCUAAUUCCCUGAGCGUCCACAGAGGGUUAUGAAAUACGCCUCUUGACCCCCCCCCACAUUCAGCUGUUAUAGGAGGAUUUUUUUCCCCCUCCCUUAUUCCUUUCUUCCAUUUGGCUCUUUUCUCAGGCUAGUCUGACCGCCUCCGUCAGCACACAACCUCGGCUCAGCUGACCCCGGCGCACGGAGGCUCACCUCAGACCGCCGCCGGGGUCAAACCCAUUUCUCAGCCGGAGCUGUGCCGACUGCCUAAUGCGGCGCUCACGAAGCAAGACGUGUUCCUUUGUCCUUUCAUAGUCGAGGAAACUUGUCCAACUACUGUUGGUUCAAGGUCAGAUAUCAGCAACCUGGACUGAGGGCCUUCACAAAGGAGCAAUGUCAGUCAUGAACGCUCGAUGACCGGCCUUCAAGUGUAUCCGCCACGUCCCGGCGUUUGUCUCUGGAACACCCCCCCUCCCCUUCCUCCUCCGCCGUGACAUCCCUUACAUCCCGUACCCCACAAUGUGUCGGCAGGCCCGGGACGCUCCCAGUCUUGACAUUUCCCAUCCAAACAAUGGCGUCGUCAUUUGUCAAACCCCCCCCACUUCUAUAUCUGCCUCCCCUCCCGGCGUCCCCAGGGGGGAGCGUAGUGAAGCUGCGGUGUGAUAGGUGCCUGUCAGGGCCGCUGCGUUUGGGCGCACGCGCCCGUACACGCCGCGUGCGGUGUGAUAGUGACGGAUGCACUGGGCGUUGGAGCACUCGGAGAGAGUGAGUGCAUGUGACAGCCAGUCAAUCAAGCCGUGAUGAGAGGUAAUCACACAAUGGACAGAUCAAUUAGUUAUUUUCUCCCGAGACAAACGGGAGAAUAAACAGUACGGUUCUCCAGGUAAAUGAUUUACAUUCCAUCGCUCUCUCAUCUCCCCCAUUCGUCGUAUCUUCGCUCCUCCCCCUUUCCCCGCUCCUCCCGCUCUCGUCGCUCCACUUUAAAUUUGGCUGUUUGGUUGUUUAUCUCCGCUCAUUUGUCCCCCUGCCGUCUCUCGCUGGGAGUGGCGAGGUGAUCCGGACGAUCGGGGCUGAGUAAUGGUACAGGAGCUCAGCCCGUGAGCGAUGAGAGCGCCGCUUGGCUGGAUCAUUUAUAUUGAGCCUAGUGGAGAACAAACAUAUGCGUCUGAAAGCCAUCAGAGACACUCUGCGGCUGGCUUGAGCACAAGCACGCACAAACACAGGGGUACAAGGGGGGCACACUUUAGGACACGCUAUGCAUCAACCGCCAGCUCUGGUGACUCACCUCUUCCCUGUUUCCCUGUGACACGUGGAGGAAGUAACACGUGACCUGACAUGGGUUGAAGAGUUAUCGUCCCUUCUGGUUUUCCUGCCACCUAUUCCAGCACUGUCAGCUCACAUCAGCCACUUGAAUGGGAGGAUUUAGGGUUGUUAUGCAUGUAGGUCACGCGUUGUUGUUUUUUUUUUCCUUGUUGUGUUCACGAGCUGGAGCAGUGGACAUUCCCCGAGGUUGCGGAAAUGUGGUACAAUCUCGUCUCUCUCGCUGCAUAUCGCACUGUCCUUCGCACUCACUUAGAGGCGGAUUCAGUCGGUGCUUGUCGGAGCAAUUUCACCCGGCAAUCUUUAUUUACCGGAAUUCCACCCUGCGCACACACACACAAACUAAAAUGCACAUUUUUCUUUGAAACCAUCCUUGCAAACGCCUACACAAACAUCUUUGUAUAUAUGAAUACGCAUAAAUAUGAGCAUGUAGUUCUCACUGAUAUAUAAAAAACAUUCAGCGGUUCAUUUUCCAGUUAUCCGCCACACAGUCUUAUGUCCUGCAGUUGUGAUGUUUCUCAGGCAUCCGCCGUAGCCAGGAUACUCUACUCCGGUCUUCGCUCCAUCUUCUUCCUCUGUGUUUUGACAGGACCACACGGCGCUGCUGCUGGUUGCCAGAUUUUGGAUUAUCCCGCCUAACAAUGGGCCAAAAGGACCGUUUGGACCGUCUCUCCCUCCGAGCUGCCAGGGGCCGCUCUGCCCCCCCGGCCCCCCAAAGGCUCUCCUCCCCAUUGCACGCACAUGGACGCACGGCCUCUCUGGGACCAGGCUCCCCCCCCCCUCACAUUGAGACUGUUAUUUAACGUGUCCUUGUGUUUAUGGCCAUCCAGUGGCCCACAAGAGAGCCGGUGAGGUAUAUUCUCGUGCACGCACACACAUUUUUUUACACUUAACAAGCGCACGGCGGCCGGAGAAUAUUGUCGAUUUCUUUCAACUUGGCGAUUAAGAACGUGUACACAUGUGUGCGUUUGUGACGCUCUUUUUCCCCACAGUGACUUUUAUUAAGUUGGCUGUCCGCUGUGCGUCUGCAGAACCUGUCUUUGUGUUUGACAUCUGCUGGGAGCAACGCUGGAAUACGUGACCUCCAGGCGCGCAGACAGAACGUAACCAUGGUGGAGACCAGGAUCAGAUCACACUCCGGCUGUCAGAGUCACGACCCCAACUGGAUCAGAGUGAAACCCGUGAAAUAGAACCGGCGCUUUCAGCGUCAGAACCCCAAACCAAAUCUGUCACUCAAACGGCAAACGGAGACCCAGGAAAGGCAGGAGGAGCAAAUGGGAAAGAGAGGAAUUCCUAGAUAGAAAAAUAAGGUGAGAGUCACAGAGCGAGAAGGAAAUAAUAAGAAACACACACAGCAAAAGAGCGAGACGGGGAGAGAGAGACGGAGAGAGAGAGAGGAGCAGCUGCAAGUGUUCAAAGAGUAUUUUACAGAAGCUCUGCGUGUGGAAACUCCAUCACUGAGUUACACUCUGUUGCGUGUUCUUUUUCAUGGAGACACAAAGCAGCUCGGCGUGGCGCAGAGGGGAAAAGGUGCUUUACACACUGCCCUCACAGAGAGAGAGAUCCUGUGUGAAGGUCGCUCUCUCCUAGAAUAGCCAUUUGAAAUGAUAACUUUCGCGGCAAAAGUUGUGACAGUUUCAGUGGAUUGAAGUGGAGGCGCUGCCACCGGUGUUGCCAUUCAGCCCUUCCUCUUUGUAAAUUGUAGAACCAAGAGGAAGCAGCUUGUCAUGAAAGGACGUUAUUUACCAUCCGUUAUUCGCUCAUGGAAUGGAAUACUGCAGGAAUUAGAGGUUGAUUAUGAUGGAGAAAGUUUGGGAGGCUCAGAGAGUCGGAGAGACACACGGAGGAGGCUUGAUUUCCAUCGCCGUUGUUACCGCGUUGUGCUGCAGCUGGUGAUGAAUGACAGACAGAGAGUUCUCAGCUGGAGGAGGACGGCUAAUGGAAUUGUGCCGCACCAGCCCACGAGGAGAACACACUAGGUUCCUAUUAUUCUUUCUAAAUGCCAUGCCUUGUUAGGAGCAUCCGGCCUCACACACAGCGCGCUCUAAAAAGCCCAACAGAAAAGAUUAUGAUCACAUAUUGUCUCCGCUGACUCCUUUUGUUCUGAUCCAUUGAUUCAUGUUUUUCUUCUUUGUUGCCGCAAAUUAAGAGGGGAUGUGUAGUCGUGAUUGUGACUCUAAAUGCACUUUGGUCUAUUCCAGCCACUUUUCAUUUGGACGGUGUAGCUCAUGAGAUCGCAGAUGAGUUGCAUUUUUGUUCGGCGAUAAUGAGAAAUAUUGCAGCCACAAAAGCGAGCGGGUAGAAAGAGGACCUGAAAAGUGGCCCGUGCGCUGAUUCAGAUUGAGAAGUAAUUCUACGCUGGGGCCGUUCACCCGAGCGUGAGGUCGGCUCAGAUGAGAACGCUUUCGCGUAUCGCUCUCUCACGGCUGCCUGCCCUUGUGUCCUUCAGUCCGCACUGAUCCCCAGUGUUCCCUUCAACUGACCACAGCGCUUUCUUCAACAUGCUUUACAGUCCUAUUGAUUCACUGUCUCACCCACUUUAUUUACCUCAGGAACUAUGAACCGUUAAAUCAAAGCAAACAGGGGGAGAGGAUGAAGUCAUCAGAUAUAGUAGCAUUGAUUAUCCCCAUUAGUUUUCUGCUCACCACCCCACCCCCCCCAUGUCCCACUGUCCGUCCAGUGGAAUGAACUGUGGCCGGUGGCCGAGCAGCAAUGACAGACAAGCUCAUUACUCGGCGCUGAGUACGCCAAGCGGGCUGCCUUCUCACAGGCAAGGACAGAGGGAGCAGGGAAGGAGAAUAACAGCAACGAGGAGAAAAUGAAGACAAAGACAUCAAUUUAUCAUAGAUGCUAAACCGAAUCCAGUCCCUGGGUGCUUCACAGUCUGUCUCUGCAUUUCACAUCCCCCACGCCGCACCAUAUUCCUCAUUCCCCAGUCUGCAGCUUAAACCCCUUUAGAGGAUAUUAUGGUCCCUUGCCAUGAGGAAAGCCCAUUACUCCACCGACAAAGCUUUAUCCAUGGAGGUAUAGCUUUACUUUUUCCACUCCAUAUGUGUGUGUGUGUGCCCAUGAUAAUGUAACCAGAACCGCUACACUCGUGGAGGGUAAUGCCUGUAGCAUCUUGUUUACCGGAUUGGAAGCUCGAGACAGAGAGAUCAAUGAAAAGAUAAAAAGUUGACCUGUCGUGGUAGAAUAAGUGUAGUCUGACAUGUUUGUGAGGGGGCCCCCCCCACCGCCGACCCCGCCCCCCACAAAAGAUAAAGCAUUUUUAAGGACUUUCUAGACCCGUUAUCUUCCAAGGGAGCCUUUGUCUCAAUGAUUUACUUUAUUUGCAGUUUACAAUAAAGACAUCAAAGAUGGCUUGUUGUAUCUUCAGGGUAGUGGGCUUGUUUUAAACUCGUAUUCAAUAGGAAGUCCCUCCAUACUAAUGUACCCUUCUCCCUCUUUUCAUUUAUUUCUUUACUUCUUUCUCUUUCUACAUGAUGCCAGAUUGCCCUUCACUUCAGGUAAUGAAGCCACUCUAUCAAAGGGCUGUACCUCCACCCGCCUGCCGCAUACCUCCCACAAUAGACCACCGUUGUGGUCAAGCCACGCUACACUGCACAGCUUAAAGACACCAUUUGAUCUGUACCUUUUUGUCUUAGGUUUGAUUUUUCCACAAUAGCUCACUGUCACUUUAAAUAUAACUAAAUUACAGCCAUCACGCGUCACUCAUGCCACUUAAUAUUCUAUUGUCUCCAGUCAGGUUGUGUUGUUCUUGGCUGAAUGACCUUGAGAUCUGUCAGUCAGAAUGGAAGGUCCCCGGGAAGGAGGUGGGUGGGGGGGCUUUCUAACUCUCACUAAAGUACCUCACCAAACAAGUAGCCCCGUAGACCACCACUCCACCACUGAGGAGCUUUAUGGGCAUAAACAACAGCGAGACAAAUUCCUUUUCAGGAGCAGAUAAAAUCUCCCUAGUCAUCUAUUCACUGCCUUCCUGUCCCUCCAAAUGUCUGUUUGGUUUUUUUUUUCCUUCCAGAAGUGUGCUGAGUGGGGUCGCGGCAUCGGCGGUAGCAGCAUCUGUCAGUGAGGAAGGGGCCAAGGAGAGGGAGCGCCUCCUGUUUGUCUCCGCCGUCUCCAAGCCCCAGACCAUAGUCUUCCUGCUAAUUAACCUGCUGACACCUCCUUACCAUUUACAUUUUGGGGGGAGGUGGAUGGAGGCACAGCUGACAAAUGGCGAGUUGAUCACUAAAGCUUGCGGAUUAAUUGGACUCUGUCCCCUUUUCUAGCCACACGUUCGCAAGCUUACGCACUAGUGCAGUGGCCAUGGUUGUAAUAUUGCUAUUUUUCUUUAUUUACUUAAAGAAGGUUGAUAUAGCGCCCCCAUCUGCCCAAAUGGCACUACCAAAGCUAUAGACCAACCAAGUGGGAAGUAGAUCUGACAAACAGUUCUCAUACAAAGAAAUCACAAACAGACAAACAGUCAGAAAGAUUUAUAUUUGAAUCUCUACCAACUGCUUUUCUAAAUUUGUUAACGUGAGAUUCCCUUCCGUAUAACCCACUGCCAACGGGAAGGUAAAGUUAAUAUAAGAGACCUUUAGAAACCAUGUGUGAAGAAAAAGGUUUUCAAAACAAUUUUAUAAACCCACCUUACCAGGAGUAGUUUUUCACAUGUGACCAAGCAAGAGGAGGUAACAAAGAAAUGAUGGUGGAGCAAGGGAGCGGGGUGCAAACAUGCCUGCUGACAUGAACCGUGAGGUUAGAGAUGCAGAUGGCAAAACUGGCUGUGCCUCCUUCAGCAUCACGUUGCCAGAGCUGGAGCCAGAGAGCAGAACAUGUUGCACAGUCCAAGUACUAACCUCUUUAACGUGAAAGUUCAAUUUCCUAUCAUUUUCUUUUGCCAAUGGGCCAUUAGCAUCCAUUCUGACUUUUCCACAUUGUGAGAGCAAGUACUUUAGUUCAUCCUUUUGAAAAUGAGUUCCGGAAGGUAAUUGCAUCCAUGUUGCAUUUGGCGUUUUGUUCAUUUGGAGUUCUAAGUUAUAAAUGGGAGCUCUCACAGCGUAUGUUCACGUCAAGCUCUGCUGCUCCCUCUGCCACCACGGGCGACACGCACAUCGCUCACUCCCUCACAGGAACAGGCUAAUAAAUGAGCAAAUAGAAAGGAGGAGGUCCAAGAGGGGGGGUGGAGCGAGAACAAGGAAAUAGAAACAAGAGAAGACAGAGACAAAAAAAAAGAUCAGAGAUUACGACUCUGCAGAUGAAACAAAGGAAAGAAGAAAAAAAAAAUUGAAACUGGGGACGGAAUAAAGAGAAGGAGGGGGAGUUGUUGCUGAGUAGGCAGACGGGCAGAAAAAAUAUCCAGCCCUCCACCCAUCAGAGAGUUCAGCUGUUCAGAUGUUUGCUUGGCGGCAAAGGCAGACAGACAGAUUGCAGCCAAUGAUAUGUGUUGGUAACAUCUCAUAGAUGGACUAAUGACAGGAAGGGAGAAGCAGGCAGAUGGCUCCUGUCAGGGAGAUGCGUUGCAGUACCGUCCCAGUGGUCCGGGCUGAGACUGAGUGAACAUUUGGGAUUGAAUGGAUAAGUAAUGGUUAGUAUAAAGGAAGAAAAGAGGGAACCUGAGUUUCUGCUUUCCUUCUUGCUUGUAUGGGUGCAUGUUAAUAAAAACGCUUGGUUGAGUCUGUGGAUGAAAGGUUUGGCUACGGAAUUACCCUUUAUCCACCAAGGCAAUCACUAGACCUAACAAAUGUUUCACCAGGUACCUCGGUUACAAGCAGGUACCCCAGUUACAAGCAGGUACCCCAGUUAAAAACAGGUACCGCAGUUACAUCGGUUACGAGCAGGUACCUCAGUUACAAGCCGGUACCUCAGUUACGAGCCGGUACCUCAGUUACAAGCAGGUACCUCAGUUACAAGCCGGUACCUCAGUUACGAGCAGGUACCUCAGUUAAAAGCAGGUCUCUCAGUUAAAAGCAGGUACCUCUAUUACGAGCAGGUACCUCUAUUACGAGCAGGUACCUCAAUUACGAGCAGGUACCUCAA